This 600-nucleotide ribosomal RNA is filed under the name uncultured bacterium. RNAcentral's name for it is "bacterial SSU rRNA". The stretch from base 1 to 485 matches the Rfam family "Bacterial small subunit ribosomal RNA", at positions 65 to 537 of the family's 1533-position model. The record is from RNAcentral.
AACGGAAAGGCCUGCUUUUGUGGGGUGCUCGUAGUGGCGAACGGGUGAGUAACACGUGAUACUGCCCUUGACUUUGGGAUAACUUCAGGAAACUGGGGCUAAUACCGGAUAGGAGCUCCUGCUGCAUGGUCGGGGGUUGGAAAGUUUCGCGCAGGUAUGGGGAUGGNCUCGCGGCUUAUCACGCUUGNCNGGUGGGGUAAUGGCUUACCAAAGGCUUUCGACGGGUAGCCGGCCUGAAAGCGGUGACCUGGCCACAUCUGGGACUAAGAUACGGCCAGACUCCUACGNGGAGGCAGCAGUGGGGANAUAUUGCAACAAUGGGCGGAACGCCUGAUGCAGCAACGCCGCAGUGCGGGAUGACGGCCUUCCGGGUCAGUAAACCCGCUAUACGCCUGUGCACGAAGCGUGAGUGACGGUCACGGCGUCAACGAAGCACCGGCUCAACUACAGUGCCAGCAGACGCGGUGANACGUUANGGGUCGCAACGUAGACCGGCACUACAAGGGGCCGUACAACCAAAGGGGGGGACUUCCCGAGACCACGAGGUGGGGCUCGGAAAAACCGGCGACGUUACGCNAACAAAGUGGGUAAAACCCAUAG